CAAUUCUGCGCCUCCGACGGUGCCCCGUCCGCCGUGAAGGCCCGGGGAUAAUAGGGAAUGCGGUGCGGACCCGGAUGGGGUCCAAGGCCGCGGCUGCCCCCGCAACUGUAUGCGGCGAGUCCGCCUCCGGAAAUGCCACGGGCCGUCAGGCCGGGAAGGCGGGAGGCGCGGCGACGACCCGCGAGCCAGGAAACCUGCCGCCAGACCGAAACUCAUC
Molecule: non-coding RNA, 217 nt
Filed under: Azospirillum baldaniorum
Lineage: Bacteria; Pseudomonadati; Pseudomonadota; Alphaproteobacteria; Rhodospirillales; Azospirillaceae
Source: RNAcentral